RNAcentral lists this ribosomal RNA (2139 nucleotides) under Triticum aestivum (bread wheat). Its description in RNAcentral is "partial small subunit ribosomal RNA". The record is from RNAcentral. Lineage: Eukaryota; Viridiplantae; Streptophyta; Magnoliopsida; Poales; Poaceae.
AUGGCGAGCGCAGGCCAGCGGUGCGCCGGCUGCUACGGCGGCAUCGGACGCUUGGAGGCCGCCUUCUCGUCGGAGUGCGCCCACACUUUCCACCCGCUCUGCGUCUCCGGCGCACACACGUGUCCCUCCUGUUCCGCGUUCUGGAGCUUCACGCCGACCUUCCAGCCGUCUCCCUUCCAGCCGCAGCCUGCCCGGAUGCCGCCGCCCGUGCGUCACGACGCCGCUGCUGCUUCGAGGUCGGCGUGCGGCGUGUGCAAGUGCGCCUUUGUAUACGGCUCCCCAACCUUCACGUCCGAGUGUCAGCACAGGUUCCAUCUCGCCUGCGCCACCGGCUCCGUCUGCCCGGUCUGCAACGCCCGCUGGCCAUACCAGGUGUCCUGCUACCCUUACUUACACCCGUACCAGUUCCCGCCGCCGCCGCCGAUGCCGAGGCCGAUGCCGAUGUGGACGUCUCCCUUCGUGGACCAACCAUCGCCAGCCGUGUACGACGACGACGAGCCGUUGGAGCCUCUGGCGGCGCAGGGGGCGCCGCUCGACGACUGGGAUCUCGUCCAGGACGCGGCCAACGGCGGAGGCAGGCUCGUCCUCGACGCGCACUGCGAGCACCCGGCCGUCGCGAGGGGGGAGCCGCACGACAGCUUCGUAGUGCUUGUCCACGCUAAGGCCCCCGGCGCAGCCACCGCGGCGGCGGCGGAGCAGACACGCACGCCGCUUGACCUCGUCACCGUGCUGGACGUCAGCGGCAGCAUGACGGGCCGCAAGAUCGCGCUGCUGAAGAAGGCCAUGGACUUCGUCGUCGACCAGCUAGGCCCUGCUGACCGUCUCAGCGUCGUCGCCUUCUCAACGGACGCGCGUCGGCCCAUCCCGCUGACGCGCAUGUCGGACGCCGGGAAAGUCAAGGCCAAGGGCGCCGUGCAGUUGCUCAUGGCUAAUGGUGGAACAAAUAUCCUCAAGGGCCUCACUGAAGCUGCCAAGGUGCUCGACGGCCGCCGGCACAAGAACGCCGUCGCCAGCGUCAUCCUCCUCUCGGACGGCCAGGACACGUACAACCUGGGAGGAGGAGGAGGAGGUUACGGCUACGGCUCGGUCUCCUACUCCAAGAACUACCGUGCUCUCGUGCCAGGCUCCUUGCUGAGCGGCGCCGGCCACCGAUCCACGCCGGUACACACGUUUGGCUUCGGCGGCGACCACGACUCGUCAGCCAUGCACACGAUCGCCGAGGAGACCGGCGGCACCUUCUCCUUCAUCGAGGACGAGAAGGUGGUGCAGGACUCGUUCGCGCAGUGCAUCGGCGGGCUCCUCUCCGUCGUCCUGCAGGAGGCGCUCAUCACCGUCAAGUGCGUGCACCCCGUGCGCGUCCGGGCAGUCAAGUCCGGCCGCUACGACAGCAGCAUCGACGCGUACGCGCGCUCCGCCUCCGUGGACGUCGGCGAGCUGUACGCGGACGAGGAGAGGCGCUUCCUGCUGCUGGUGGACGUGCCCAAGGCCGGCGACGCUGACGAAGUGACGCAGAUCAUGAAGGUGACCUGCACCUACCGCGACACGUCGACAGGGCAGGUGGUGGACGUGGCCGGCGAGGACGUGGCGGUGCAGAGACCCGUGGAGGUGGCCAAGGACCAGCAGCCGUCCAUGGAGGUCGCGCGGGAGAAGUUCCGCGCGGAGGCGACCGAGGACAUCGCGGCGGCGCGGGCCGCCGCGGAGCGCGGCGAGUACGCGGAGGCCGCGAGGAUACUGGACCGCAGGCAGGAGGCGCUGCUGCCGGCGCUGGCCGACGACGCGAGGUGCAAGGCGCUGGUGGAGGAGCUGCGCGAGCUGAGCACCCGCGUGGCGAGCCGGCGGGAGUACGAGAAGUCGGGGCGCGCGUGCAUCCUGACCGGCUACAGCUCCCACGCGCAGCAGCGCGCCGCGUCCGCCUGCGUGGCCGGUGCCGGAGGAGGAUACCGUUGUCCACCGCCGCCCGGCGGGGCCGGGGGCAUGGGCAUGGGCGGGGCGGCGUCGGUUUUUGGUUUCGGUGCGGCGGGGGCGUACGCGACGCCGGCGAUGCAGAUGAUGGUGGGCGCGUCGAGGCAAGUACGUGAGCAGCAGCAGCAGCAGCCGGCGACGUUGAAGAGGAAGAGCGGAAGCGACGGCGUCAACUAA